Molecule: ribosomal RNA, 445 nt
Filed under: uncultured bacterium
Lineage: Bacteria
Description: partial 16S ribosomal RNA
Rfam family: Bacterial small subunit ribosomal RNA
Source: RNAcentral
GUGAGGAAUAUUGGUCAAUGGGCGAGAGCCUGAACCAGCCAAGUCGCGUGAAGGAAGAAGGAUCUAUGGUUCGUAAACUUCUUUUGCAGGGGAAUAAAGUGCAGGACGUGUCCUGUUUUGUAUGUACCCUGAGAAUAAGGAUCGGCUAACUCCGUGCCAGCAGCCGCGGUAAUACGGAGGAUCCGAGCGUUAUCCGGAUUUAUUGGGUUUAAAGGGUGCGUAGGUGGUUUGAUAAGUCAGCGGUGAAAGUUUGCAGCUUAACUGUAAAAAUGCCGUUGAAACUGUCGGACUUGAGUGUAGAUGAGGUAGGCGGAAUGCGUGGUGUAGCGGUGAAAUGCAUAGAUAUCACGCAGAACUCCGAUUGCGAAGGCAGCUUACUAAGCUACAACUGACACUGAAGCACGAAAGCGUGGGGAUCAAACAGGAUUAGAAACCCCGGUAGUCC